Molecule: ribosomal RNA, 406 nt
Filed under: uncultured bacterium
Lineage: Bacteria
Description: partial 16S ribosomal RNA
Rfam family: Bacterial small subunit ribosomal RNA
Source: RNAcentral
AUUGAACGCUGGCGGCAGGCCUAACACAUGCAAGUCGAACGAGUGGCGGACGGGUGAGUAAUGUCUGGGAACCUGCCUGAUGGAGGGGGAUAACUACUGGAAACGGUAGUUAAUACCGCAUACCAUCGGACUUUCCCAGAUGGGUUUAGCCAGUAGGUGGGGUAACGGCUCACCGAGGCGACGAUCCCUAGCUGGUCUGAGAGGAUGACCAGCCACACGGGAACUGAGACACGGUCCAGACUCCUACGGGAGGCAGCAGUGGGGAAUAUUGCACAAUGGGCGAAAGCCUGAUGCAGCCAUGCCGGGUGUAUGAAGAAGGCCUUCGGGUUGUAAAGUACUUUCAGCGGGGAGGCGUUACCCGCAGAAGAAGCACCGGCUAACUCCGUGCCAGCAGCCGCGGUAAUAC